This 22-nucleotide non-coding RNA is filed under the name Arabidopsis thaliana (thale cress). Lineage: Eukaryota; Viridiplantae; Streptophyta; Magnoliopsida; Brassicales; Brassicaceae. The record is from RNAcentral.
CGGAACUAUCCUCUUUCUCUCU